CUCUCUCUCUUAUACUUGACCGUACGCAAGGAGAAAGAGAACCCGGUUGGAGCUUGGAUCGACGCCGACGUCGCGCCGCGGUGCCGUUCGAGUGUGCGUUCGUCAUCGUAGCAUCGCGAGGAGGCCGGGCGAGGGUGCGAUUCCGCCGUUCUCGACGUCGCACCGGAUUGGGAUUAGCUUUCAAGAGAAUUAAACCACCAGAGAAAUCAAUUUAUCCUGGGGUUUACAGUAAGCAUUGCCAGGUUCCAUCAUUCAAAUGCAUAAUCAACUAAUGUAAAAGACCUUGGAUGCUCAAACCAAGUUCAGAGAAAGCAGGGAACCAUGAGUCGCAGUCAAAAAGAAGAAUCCAAGGCUAUACUGCGUCAGCACAACACAUAUUACUCCGGGCCAAAUGGCAAUAGUGGCACAUGCGUGAGCCAUCGGUUCCGGCUGCUGCAUCUUCUGAGGCAGAUCAUGACAAGAGCAUUGCGAGCUAGAGCCCUACCCGACGAGUCGUCGAGAUAGAGGAUCACCCGCUGCAGGUAGUGGUAUUUGUUGUUUUUAUUUUUGAGAAUUCGUGUACAUACAGAUGUUUUAACUCGCUGGAGCGAGUACUU
This is a long non-coding RNA of Ananas comosus (pineapple), 596 nucleotides long. RefSeq lists it as uncharacterized. The record is from RefSeq and is a predicted model, not a curated record. The transcript has 3 exons. NCBI's taxonomy places the organism in Eukaryota, Viridiplantae, Streptophyta, Magnoliopsida, Poales, Bromeliaceae.